RNAcentral lists this ribosomal RNA (259 nucleotides) under uncultured Limnohabitans sp. Its description in RNAcentral is "partial 16S ribosomal RNA". It matches the Rfam family "Bacterial small subunit ribosomal RNA", at positions 1 to 267 of the family's 1533-position model. The record is from RNAcentral. Lineage: Bacteria; Pseudomonadati; Pseudomonadota; Betaproteobacteria; Burkholderiales; Comamonadaceae.
UCGAGAGUUUGAUCCUGGCUCAGAUUGAACGCUGGCGGAAUGCUUUACACAUGCAAGUCGAACGGUAGAGGGGGCAACCCCUUGAGAGUGGCGAACGGGUGAGUAAUAUAUCGGAACGUGCCCAGUCGUGGGGGAUAACGUAGCGAAAGUUACGCUAAUAUCGCAUACGAUCUAAGGAUGAAAGCGGGGGAUCGCAAGACCGUCGCGCGAUUGGAGCGGCCGAUAUCAGAUUAGGUAGUUGGUAGGGGUAAACGGCUCA